GAUGUUCUCGGAUCGUAAACUUCUGUUAUUAGGAAGAACAUAUGUGUAAGUAACUGUGCACAUCUGACCGGUACCUAAUCAGAAAGCCACGCUAACUACGUGCCAGCAGCCGCGGUAAUACGUAGGUGGCAAGCGUUAUCCGGAAUUAUUGGGCGUAAAGCGCGCGUAGGCGGUUUUUUAAGUCUGAUGUGAAAGCCCACGGCUCAACCGUGGAGGGUCAUUGGAAACUGGAAAACUUGAGUGCAGAAGAGGAAAGUGGAAUUAUGUGUAGCGGUGAAAUGCGCAGAGAUAUGGAGGAACACCAGUGGCGAAGGCGACUUUCUGGUCUGUAACUGACGCUGAUGUGCGAAAGCGUGGGGAUCAAACAGGAUUAGAUACCCUGGUAGUCCACGCCGUAAACGAUGAGUGCUAAGUGUUAGGGUUUCCGCCCCUUAGUGCUGCAGCUAACGCAUUAAGCACUCCGCCUGGGGAGUACGACCGCAAGGUUGAAACUCAAAGGAAUUGACGGGGCCCGCACAAGCGGUGGAGCAUGUGGUUUAAUUCGAAGCAACGCAAGAACCUUACCAAAUCUUGACAUCCUUUGACAACUCUAGAGAUAGAGCUUUCCCCUUCGGGGGACAAAGUGACAGGUGGUGCAUGGUUGUCGUCAGCUCGUGUCGUGAGAUGUUGGGUUAAGUCCCGCAACGAGCGCAACCCUUAAGUUAGUUGCCAUCAUUAAGUUGGGCACUCUAAGUUGACUGCCGGUGACAAACCGGAGGAAGGUGGGGAUGACGUCAAAUCAUCAUGCCCCUUAUGAUUUGGGCUACACACGGCUACAAUGGACAAUACAAAGGGCAGCGAAACCGCGAGGUCAAGCAAAUCCCAUAAAGUUGUUCUCAGUUCGGAUUGUAGUCUGCAACUCGACUACAUGAAGCUGGAAUCGCUAGUAAU
Molecule: ribosomal RNA, 930 nt
Filed under: Staphylococcus aureus
Lineage: Bacteria; Bacillati; Bacillota; Bacilli; Caryophanales; Staphylococcaceae
Description: bacterial SSU rRNA
Rfam family: Bacterial small subunit ribosomal RNA
Source: RNAcentral